GCUCCAAUAGCGUAUAUUAAUGUUGUUGCGGUUAAAAAAGCUCGUAGUUGAAUCUCUGAUCGGGAUGACCUCCUCACCUUAGGGUGAUGGUAGCUGUUGACCUGAUCAUCCUCCUAGAACACGAUGGCUCUUAACCGUUCCAUUCGUGCUAGGACUAUUACUUUGAGGAAAUUAGAGUGUUCCAAGCAGGCAUUUGCCUG
Molecule: ribosomal RNA, 200 nt
Filed under: uncultured eukaryote
Lineage: Eukaryota
Description: partial 18S ribosomal RNA
Rfam family: Eukaryotic small subunit ribosomal RNA
Source: RNAcentral